This 459-nucleotide ribosomal RNA is filed under the name uncultured bacterium. RNAcentral describes it as "partial 16S ribosomal RNA". It matches the Rfam family "Bacterial small subunit ribosomal RNA", at positions 338 to 795 of the family's 1533-position model. The record is from RNAcentral.
CCUACGGGAGGCAGCAGUGAGGAAUAUUGGUCAAUGGCCGGAAGGCUGAACCAGCCAAGCCGCGUGAGGGAGGAAGGCGCAGAGCGUCGCAGACCUCUUUUGCCGGGGGACAAAAGGCCGGACGGGUCCGGUUCUGAGGGUACCCGGAGAAAAAGCAUCGGCUAACUCCGUGCCAGCAGCCGCGGUAAUACGGAGGAUGCGAGUGUUAUCCGGAUUUAUGGGGUUUAAAGGGUGCGCAGGCGGGCCUUUAAGCCGGCGGUGAAAUGGCGGGGCUAAACCCCGCCGAGCCGUCGGAACUGGGGGCCUUGAGUGCGGUGGAGGCAGGCGGAAUGCGCGGUGUAGCGGUGAAAUGCAUAGAUAUCGCGCAGAACCCCGAUUGCGAAGGCAGCGUGCCGUGCCGCCACUGACGCUGAGGCACGAAAGCGCGGGGAUCGAACAGGAUUAGAUACCCUUGUAGUC